This 2215-nucleotide ribosomal RNA is filed under the name Salmonella enterica subsp. enterica serovar Enteritidis. Its description in RNAcentral is "partial 23S ribosomal RNA". It matches the Rfam family "Bacterial large subunit ribosomal RNA", at positions 604 to 2803 of the family's 2925-position model. Lineage: Bacteria; Pseudomonadati; Pseudomonadota; Gammaproteobacteria; Enterobacterales; Enterobacteriaceae. The record is from RNAcentral.
CCUUUUGUAUAAUGGGUCAGCGACUUAUAUUCUGUAGCAAGGUUAACCGAAUAGGGGAGCCGGAGGGAAACCGAGUCUUAAUUGGGCGUUAAGUUGCAGGGUAUAGACCCGAAACCCGGUGAUCUAGCCAUGGGCAGGUUGAAGGUUGGGUAACACUAACUGGAGGACCGAACCGACUAAUGUUGAAAAAUUAGCGGAUGACCUGUGGCUGGGGGUGAAAGGCCAAUCAAACCGGGAGAUAGCUGGUUCUCCCCGAAAGCUAUUUAGGUAGCGCCUCGUGAAUUCAUCUCCGGGGGUAGAGCACUGUUUCGGCUAGGGGGCCAUCCCGGCUUACCAACCCGAUGCAAACUGCGAAUACCGGAGAAUGUUAUCACGGGAGACACACGGCGGGUGCUAACGUCCGUCGUGAAGAGGGAAACAACCCAGACCGCCAGCUAAGGUCCCAAAGUCAUGGUUAAGUGGGAAACGAUGUGGGAAGGCCCAGACAGCCAGGAUGUUGGCUUAGAAGCAGCCAUCAUUUAAAGAAAGCGUAAUAGCUCACUGGUCGAGUCGGCCUGCGCGGAAGAUGUAACGGGGCUAAACCAUGCACCGAAGCUGCGGCAGCGACACUGUGUGUUGUUGGGUAGGGGAGCGUUCUGUAAGCCUGUGAAGGUGUGUCGUGAGGCAUGCUGGAGGUAUCAGAAGUGCGAAUGCUGACAUAAGUAACGAUAAAGCGGGUGAAAAGCCCGCUCGCCGGAAGACCAAGGGUUCCUGUCCAACGUUAAUCGGGGCAGGGUGAGUCGACCCCUAAGGCGAGGCCGAAAGGCGUAGUCGAUGGGAAACGGGUUAAUAUUCCCGUACUUGGUGUUACUGCGAAGGGGGGACGGAGAAGGCUAUGUUGGCCGGGCGACGGUUGUCCCGGUUUAAGCGUGUAGGUGUGUGUUCCAGGUAAAUCCGGUUCACUUUAACACUGAGGCGUGACGACGAGGCACUACGGUGCUGAAGCAACAAAUGCCCUGCUUCCAGGAAAAGCCUCUAAGCAUCAGGUAACAUCAAAUCGUACCCCAAACCGACACAGGUGGUCAGGUAGAGAAUACCAAGGCGCUUGAGAGAACUCGGGUGAAGGAACUAGGCAAAAUGGUGCCGUAACUUCGGGAGAAGGCACGCUGACACGUAGGUGAAGUGAUUUACUCAUGGAGCUGAAGUCAGUCGAAGAUACCAGCUGGCUGCAACUGUUUAUUAAAAACACAGCACUGUGCAAACACGAAAGUGGACGUAUACGGUGUGACGCCUGCCCGGUGCCGGAAGGUUAAUUGAUGGGGUCAGCGCAAGCGAAGCUCCUGAUCGAAGCCCCGGUAAACGGCGGCCGUAACUAUAACGGUCCUAAGGUAGCGAAAUUCCUUGUCGGGUAAGUUCCGACCUGCACGAAUGGCGUAAUGAUGGCCAGGCUGUCUCCACCCGAGACUCAGUGAAAUUGAACUCGCUGUGAAGAUGCAGUGUACCCGCGGCAAGACGGAAAGACCCCGUGAACCUUUACUAUAGCUUGACACUGAACAUUGAGCCUUGAUGUGUAGGAUAGGUGGGAGGCUUUGAAGUGUGGACGCCAGUCUGCAUGGAGCCGACCUUGAAAUACCACCCUUUAAUGUUUGAUGUUCUAACGUGGACCCGUUACCCGGGUUGCGGACAGUGUCUGGUGGGUAGUUUGACUGGGGCGGUCUCCUCCUAAAGAGUAACGGAGGAGCACGAAGGUUGGCUAAUCCUGGUCGGACAUCAGGAGGUUAGUGCAAUGGCAUAAGCCAGCUUGACUGCGAGCGUGACGGCGCGAGCAGGUGCGAAAGCAGGUCAUAGUGAUCCGGUGGUUCUGAAUGGAAGGGCCAUCGCUCAACGGAUAAAAGGUACUCCGGGGAUAACAGGCUGAUACCGCCCAAGAGUUCAUAUCGACGGCGGUGUUUGGCACCUCGAUGUCGGCUCAUCACAUCCUGGGGCUGAAGUAGGUCCCAAGGGUAUGGCUGUUCGCCAUUUAAAGUGGUACGCGAGCUGGGUUUAGAACGUCGUGAGACAGUUCGGUCCCUAUCUGCCGUGGGCGCUGGAGAACUGAGGGGGGCUGCUCCUAGUACGAGAGGACCGGAGUGGACGCAUCACUGGUGUUCGGGUUGUCAUGCCAAUGGCACUGCCCGGUAGCUAAAUGCGGAAGAGAUAAGUGCUGAAAGCAUCUAAGCACGAAACUUGCCCCGAG